RNAcentral lists this ribosomal RNA (468 nucleotides) under uncultured bacterium. RNAcentral's name for it is "partial 16S ribosomal RNA". It matches the Rfam family "Bacterial small subunit ribosomal RNA", at positions 28 to 507 of the family's 1533-position model. The record is from RNAcentral.
GAUGAACGCUGGCGGCGUGCUUAACACAUGCAAGUCGAACGGUGAAGGCGGAGCUUGCUCUGCUGGAUCAGUGGCGAACGGGUGAGUAACACGUGAGCAAUCUGCCCCUGACUCUGGGAUAAGCGCUGGAAACGGCGUCUAAUACUGGAUACGAGCUACGAAGGCAUCUUCAGCAGCUGGAAAGAAUUUCGGUCAGGGAUGAGCUCGCGGCCUAUCAGCUUGUUGGUGAGGUAAUGGCUCACCAAGGCGUCGACGGGUAGCCGGCCUGAGAGGGUGACCGGCCACACUGGGACUGAGACACGGCCCAGACUCCUACGGGAGGCAGCAGUGGGGAAUAUUGCACAAUGGGCGAAAGCCUGAUGCAGCAACGCCGCGUGAGGGACGACGGCCUUCGGGUUGUAAACCUCUUUUAGCAGGGAAGAAGCGAAAGUGACGGUACCUGCAGAAAAAGCGCCGGCUAACUACGUG